Long non-coding RNA from Chiloscyllium plagiosum (whitespotted bambooshark), 519 nucleotides. RefSeq lists it as uncharacterized. Lineage: Eukaryota; Metazoa; Chordata; Chondrichthyes; Orectolobiformes; Hemiscylliidae. The record is from RefSeq and is a predicted model, not a curated record.
CACUGGUUUCCUCCCACAGUCCAAAGACAUGAAGUUAGGUGGAUUGACCAUGCCAAACUGCCCAGAAGUGUUCAGGAGAGUGUAGAUAUAGGUGGAUAAGCUGAGCAUUUCCGACAGAUGCUGUUCCUAUUGGAGGAGAAUGUCUGCAACCCAUCGAAACCCCAUCAAACGUCUUGUGAUCUCUGAUUCUCCUUCAGCAAGUAGCUCAGGAGCAGCUGCAAAAUCUGGAGGUUGGUGGAUGAAUUUGGGAGCUCUGGAUAUGGAAAGACAUGCUUCCUCUCACAAUUCUCAAGAAGGAGGUGAGAACGAGCUGCACUACUAUCGAGGGAGGGGAUUGGCAAUGGCUGUCUUGGCAUAAACUUCAUGUAGAGUUGUUGAGCAAACAUUGCCUGAGAAAGCUGUCAAUCAGGAUGGCGUACAUUGUUCGAUAGUUGCUUUGGACACUGACCAUGCUGCUUGACAGGUAUCUGUCCAAUGAGGCCAGGCCCUCUUUAGCAUGGGGCCCAGUGGUUCCUGCCA